UACGGAAGGCAGCAGUGGGGAAUAUUGCACAAUGGGCGCAAGCCUGAUGCAGCCAUGCCGCGUGUAUGAAGAAGGCCUUCGGGUUGUAAAGUACUUUCAGUCGUGAGGAAGGUGUUAAGGUUAAUAACCUUAGCAAUUGACGUUAGCGACAGAAGAAGCACCGGCUAACUCCGUGCCAGCAGCCGCGGUAAUACGGAGGGUGCGAGCGUUAAUCGGAAUUACUGGGCGUAAAGGGCACGCAGGCGGUUAAUUAAGUUGGAUGUGAAAUCCCCGGGCUUAACCUGGGAAUGGCAUUCAAGACUGGUUAGCUAGAGUCUUGUAGAGGGGGUAGAAUUCCAUGUGUAGCGGUGAAAUGCGUAGAGAUGUGGAGGAAUACCGGGUGGCGAAGGCGGCCCCUGGGACAAAGACUGACGCUCAUGUGCGAAAGCGUGGGGAGCAAACAGGGAUUGAUACC
RNAcentral lists this ribosomal RNA (454 nucleotides) under uncultured bacterium. RNAcentral describes it as "bacterial SSU rRNA". It matches the Rfam family "Bacterial small subunit ribosomal RNA", at positions 340 to 786 of the family's 1533-position model. The record is from RNAcentral.